RNAcentral lists this long non-coding RNA (314 nucleotides) under Lathyrus oleraceus (garden pea). RNAcentral describes it as "Pisum sativum (pea) long non-coding RNA (PSAT_LNC038022)". The record is from RNAcentral. Lineage: Eukaryota; Viridiplantae; Streptophyta; Magnoliopsida; Fabales; Fabaceae.
CAUUCACUUAUUACUUUGUUGUUGAACUGAGUACUUAGGAGAGGAUUGUGGGCUUUAGGGCCUGCUUCGUUUCUUGUUGCUUUUUGUUGGGUUUUCACUUUUUUUUUUAUUUCUCACACUCUGCUUUACAUUGUUUGAUUUAUUUACUUCUUAUUAAAUAUUGAGAUAAUAACUAUAAGUAGUAAUAGUAGAAAUACUUGUUAACCUAAUUUGGAUUAUUAUUUCAAUUCGCAUUUUAUUACUUAUUUCAGUUAUGCAUCAUAAUAAAAUAGGACAAUAAUUGCUAAAGUUAGCAAAUGAUCCAUAUUCCUAAG